GCAGAGCAGCGCAGCGAAGCGGGAGGAGGAAAGGAAAGGGCUCCAUAAGGGCUCCCUUCCUUUCCUCCUCCCGCUUCGCUGAAGAGUGUUGC
This 92-nucleotide microRNA precursor is filed under the name Podarcis lilfordi (Lilford's wall lizard). The record is from RNAcentral. Lineage: Eukaryota; Metazoa; Chordata; Lepidosauria; Squamata; Lacertidae.